GACACCAGCGCACUGCGAGGCCACCUCCGUGCCAGCAGCCCGAGGGAAGUCAGGGACGGGGCUUGCGGGGACCACGAGGGAGCCCGCGAGGAGGCGAGCCAGCGAGGGGGGCCCGCGUGAGACCAGGCCCACCAGAAGCACCCGAGUCCGAGCGUGCGCGCUGCGCUUUACCGAGCGCCUCGGGGGCCGCCUGGCGCAGGCAGGUGACGUAGUAGGCGGCGCGCUCCGGGGCCGAGCUGGGGCAAGGACUGGGGCAGAGCGAGGCUUCUCACCCGCCCGCCGCGGAGGCCGAGGCCGAGGUCCCGCCCCUCGCUCCACCGGCUUGGCUCCCAGUCUCCCCCACCAAACGUAGGCCAUGUUCUCAAUGGCCCGCAAAGGUGGCUCUGGAGAGGGUGGAACGGAGGCAAAUUGAAGUUUGGGAGAGGAGUGCCAGCCAAUUCAGUGGUCCCUGCGCAUCCUCCUCCUGCAGACUGCCAAAUACCUGGAAAAUAAAGGAGUGCCCAAUGGAGAAAAACUAGUGCAGAAGCAGGAUGAACCACGCGGUGCCACCCGCACGGAAGGGCUCGGAGAACGCUGCCAGCUUCACACCUGCAGAAAGUACUGUGAGCACGGCUGAGCACGAGCGCCUGCUCCCUUCCAACUUUCGGGAGGAAGAAGUUAGGAAUUCGGGUUGCUGCUAAACCUCAGAUCAAAGGCUGGAACGCUCAAUCCUGAAUUUUGACAGCUUUUGGAUUCUUCCUGAGGCAUCAUGCACGAAAGCUGACAGCCUCCUGACUGGUCGACAAUCAGCAAUGCAGUACACUGGCCACAUUGAGGAGAAGACUACUGAUUGUGAUGAGAGCAAAAGAGGACCUACCCAGUCUUCCAAACCUGCAUCUUUAUCUGUGGCAACCAUUUCCCACGUAUUUACUUAUAUGAAAUGCACAGAGUGUAGAACUUCAUACUAAUAUUGAGUAAUUGCUACAGGAGACAAAUUACCAAUCUUCAUGUGGAAAGGAAAGAACCCAAUGUGGUGCAAGCACUCACUAAAUGCUUUCAACAGUCACAUUAUAGCAAACAGAAGCAACAGACGCUGAAAAUAAGGCUCCUAAUAGACUAAUCAGAUUCUCUAGUCCUCUCUCCAGAAGCUGGACAGGCCACUUUGCACGGAGUAAGGCCCCAGGACGGCUGGACAAUUCAAGGAGAGGACAAAGCCUUAAGAAAGAAGACAGGCAAUGGACUUCCUCUGGCACUAAUCUGGCUCAUAGAUGUUUGGACCUAAUGUAAUUU
Molecule: long non-coding RNA, 1269 nt
Organism: Tupaia belangeri chinensis (Chinese tree shrew)
Lineage: Eukaryota; Metazoa; Chordata; Mammalia; Scandentia; Tupaiidae
Exons: 5
Source: RefSeq, a predicted model, not a curated record